This 827-nucleotide ribosomal RNA is filed under the name Sphingobacterium multivorum. RNAcentral's name for it is "bacterial SSU rRNA". It matches the Rfam family "Bacterial small subunit ribosomal RNA", at positions 25 to 844 of the family's 1533-position model. Lineage: Bacteria; Pseudomonadati; Bacteroidota; Sphingobacteriia; Sphingobacteriales; Sphingobacteriaceae. The record is from RNAcentral.
CAGGAUGAACGCUAGCGGCAGGCCUAAUACAUGCAAGUCGGACGGGAUCCAUCGGAGAGCUUGCUCGAAGAUGGUGAGAGUGGCGCACGGGUGCGUAACGCGUGAGCAACCUACCUCUAUCAGGGGGAUAGCCUCUCGAAAGAGAGAUUAACACCGCAUAAUAUAUCUGAUUGGCAUCAGUUAGAUAUUAAAUAUUUAUAGGAUAGAGAUGGGCUCGCGUGACAUUAGCUAGUUGGUAGGGUAACGGCUUACCAAGGCGACGAUGUCUAGGGGCUCUGAGAGGAGAAUCCCCCACACUGGUACUGAGACACGGACCAGACUCCUACGGGAGGCAGCAGUAAGGAAUAUUGGUCAAUGGGCGGAAGCCUGAACCAGCCAUGCCGCGUGCAGGAUGACUGCCCUAUGGGUUGUAAACUGCUUUUGUCCAGGAAUAAACCUAGAUACGUGUAUCUAGCUGAAUGUACUGGAAGAAUAAGGAUCGGCUAACUCCGUGCCAGCAGCCGCGGUAAUACGGAGGAUCCGAGCGUUAUCCGGAUUUAUUGGGUUUAAAGGGUGCGUAGGCGGCCUAUUAAGUCAGGGGUGAAAUACGGUGGCUCAACCAUCGCAGUGCCUUUGAUACUGAUGGGCUUGAAUCCAUUUGAAGUGGGCGGAAUAAGACAAGUAGCGGUGAAAUGCAUAGAUAUGUCUUAGAACUCCGAUUGCGAAGGCAGCUCACUAAGCUGGUAUUGACGCUGAUGCACGAAAGCGUGGGGAUCGAACAGGAUUAGAUACCCUGGUAGUCCACGCCCUAAACGAUGAUAACUCGAUGUUGGCGAUAGACAGCCAGC